This is an RNA transcript of Quercus robur (English oak), 1426 nucleotides long. RefSeq lists it as uncharacterized. The record is from RefSeq and is a predicted model, not a curated record. NCBI's taxonomy places the organism in Eukaryota, Viridiplantae, Streptophyta, Magnoliopsida, Fagales, Fagaceae. The transcript has 4 exons.
UACAUUCUCUUCGAUUAUGGUUUGCUGUCAAUUUAGGAAUUUGGAUUUAUAACCCUUUUCCUCUCUAUUUGUUAAAAUCAGGGAAAACACUUACAAUAUGAAAAUCCUACCUGUGUUUUAUUAGCCUCUUAUCUGUUCUGUUUUUUUAAGGGGAGUGAAAUUGUGGGAUUUUGAAAUCUGAUAGAAUAACUUUCUCUAUAUAUUUUUUAAAAAGAUACUUUUAAGUCUUGAUUUUGUUGUUUUUGAUGUUGGAUUUUAAUGGGUUUAAAUUGUGAAAUCUAAAAGUAUAAUAGUAAAAGGAAAUGGAUCAAGUUCUAAAGUUUUUUUUUUUUUGUUUGUCUCAAAUUUCAAUUACAUUUGUUAGUAUACUUUUAUAAUUGUGGAUUACUUCUGGUAUUUAAAUACCAUGAAAUUUCAGUAAGUUGCGGAGACAAGUAGAGAAUCUGUCAUGUAGCCAGAACCACUACAGAGAGCAAAGAGUAGGGAGGCAAUGAGACAUGAGAGAAUUAGAAGUGUUACCAACAAAGGAUGCAAUUUCAACAUGAUUGUAGACCCAAUGCGGCUGGCUAAUCUUCUUUGCAGGAUAGCCUUUAUUGUCUACAACAAUCUGUCAUUAACACAGAUUGAACACCACAAUGGACAUUAAUGUUACACAAAUUAUACCAAGGAGACCACGUGAAGUACAUGAUGGAGAACUUUCCUUGCAUAAUGGAAAAUCAAUAUCUUAAAUAAAGGACUUGGAGUGGAACUUAGAGACAAAGGUAUCAAAGGAUACAUGUCCAAGUAGAAAGUAAAACCGAUUCAACAACAUUCAUUUCAUUUGACAAAGCGACUGAGAAAUUUGUAUCUAAUACUAUAAAAGAACUUGCAGAGAUAUAAGCAGAGGAAAUUUCAAUUAGAAAUAUCAAUUCUAUUUACGUAGCUUUUCCUCUUACAUACAUUAUCCCCAAUCUGUCCUUGCACUCGAAAACAAUGCCAGCCAAUUUUAUUUGUAUUAGCAAAACACCUGCACUUUAUGAGCAUCAUUAUUUGAACAAUUAACCAUCCACCCCCUUUCAUAUUUUACUAUUACAUUAAGUGAAAUAAACCAACCUUCAAAUACAAUUUUGUUCUUCAAAAAACACACAGAAUCUCAUGCAAAGCGUUAAUCAUGAUGUAUGUAUGUUUACUUUGCUAAAUUUAUGAGCUCUUAGGUUUUCUUCUUUUCCUAUUACUAACCAAUCAUAUUGACAGUUUAUGCAUGAUGUGUUAGUGUACAAUAUUGUUGAUUAAAAUCAUAAUGGUUGUUGAGGUUGUACUACUCUUUGUAUUUCUAUGGUAGGUAACGUAGAAGUAACAACCAUAUAGUUUAUCUCUACUAUAUACAAUCUCUUCUAUCAAAAAAAAAAAAAAAAAGAAAGAUUGGUGGGGAGAUAUUUCUAAGAAA